AACGAACGCUGGCGGCAUGCCUAACACAUGCAAGUCGAACGAGACCUUCGGGUCUAGUGGCGCACGGGUGCGUAACGCGUGGGAAUCUACCCUCCGGUUCGGAAUACCUCAGAGAAAUUUGAGCUAACACCGGAUGAUGACGUAAGUCCCAAGAUUUAUCGCCUGAGGAUGAGCCCGCGUAGGGUUAGGUAGUUGGUGAGGUAAAGGCUCACCACGCCGACGAUCCUUAGCUGGUCUGAGAGGAAGAUCAGCCACACUGGGACUGAGACACGGCCCAGACUCCUACGGGAAGCAGCGGUGGGGACUAUUGGAGCAUGGGCGAAAGCCUGAUCCAGCCAUGCCGCGUGAGUGAUGAAGGCGUUAGGGUUGUAAAGCUGUUUUACCCGGGAUGAUAAUGACAGUACCUGGAGAAUAAGCGCCGGCUAACUCCGUG
Molecule: ribosomal RNA, 433 nt
Filed under: uncultured bacterium
Lineage: Bacteria
Description: partial 16S ribosomal RNA
Rfam family: Bacterial small subunit ribosomal RNA
Source: RNAcentral